UCAGAAAUGAAGAAGAAGCACAAACAGGAGACUGAUUGAUUGGUGACACAACUCACCUGCUCGUCUUCACGCAGGUGUUUCUCAAUCAGCUGAUGAGCGCUGAUUGCUUCCUCCUCCUCCUCUUCUUAUUUAAUCUUCCUCCAGCGAAGAGUUCCGUGAUGUUAGUUGAAAAGACGCUGCACGAGACGUGGAAGGAAAAAAAAAAGAUGCUAAAAAAAGUGUCACUGCUGAACUACUGAAGCUGUUCCGGGAGGAGUGAACUUGUGGCGGUAAUGCACCAAACGCCCCAAAACCUCAAAGAAGAAGGAGAGAACUUUUAAAAAGAGAAGAAAAAUGAACAAAAAACUACCGCGGCGUGACGUCACACGCCGAAAAGGUGGUCGCGUGCAUCAGCUCCUGUAUGCAAACGCAGCAAGGCGCUCCGGGAUGGCGUGUUCGACCUGGUCCAGAUUGGUGGCCCGUCCAGAAUGAUCCAUACGAGUUGGCUCCCUCAUCUUCCGUCUAUUGCGUAUCCUGAUAUCGUCAACUACCUGGUUUUCUCGCCAAGCCCAUACACAGCGGGAGACGUUUUGAGGCCUAUAACAGAUGGCGUUGUGGAUGGGUGAGGGAGAUGCAGUAUCAAGUCAUCGACCACAGAUGUGUUGUGAAUGCCAAAGUUCUCCAUUCUCAAUCAAUUCAAGCGACAACCCUG
Molecule: long non-coding RNA, 691 nt
Organism: Solea senegalensis (Senegalese sole)
Lineage: Eukaryota; Metazoa; Chordata; Actinopteri; Pleuronectiformes; Soleidae
Exons: 3
Source: RefSeq, a predicted model, not a curated record